AAACAAAAACGCCACGUUUGCCUUAUUAUACACACAGAACGCAUAGUGCUUUCUGAGAUUAACUCGGUGCGUCACCUAUUCCCCUGGAUCCCCUUUCAGGUUAAAACUUACCUAUAUUUUUAACUAAGCUCAAGUGUUCUCCGCUAGGGAGAAUGUCAAUGGAAUUUUGCUGCACAGUCCCAGGAGGGCAGAGGCAACAUAGGAAUCAAAUUUUACUGUCGGAGAGGUUUUCACAGCAGAGCAUGAAAAGAACACUCUGUGCAGAGAUGACACGAUUUCAGUUCUCAAGUGAUUAGUGCUUAUAAAAGAACCAAUGACUUGGUUUCCAAUGGAAUGGAGAGAUUUCUUUGAUGAAUUUUUUUAAAGUAUGUGGAAACAAAUAUUGCAGGAAUAGAAAAGCCGCGUCUUUCCUCCUACUCCUGGUAUGAGGAUGCUGUUAACAUAGCUAUGCAGCUGAUUUGAAGAUACUUCAGUCUCCUUUCCUA
Molecule: long non-coding RNA, 485 nt
Organism: Prionailurus viverrinus (fishing cat)
Lineage: Eukaryota; Metazoa; Chordata; Mammalia; Carnivora; Felidae
Exons: 3
Source: RefSeq, a predicted model, not a curated record